AACGCGCGAUCGCCUUGAGUUUGAUCUGGCUCAGAGCGAACGCUGGCGGCAGGCUUACACAUGCAAGUCGAGCGCCGUAGCAAUACGGAGCGGCAGACGGGUGAGUAACACGUGGGAACGUACCUUUUGGUUCGGAACAACACAGGGAAACUUGUGCUAAUACCGGAUAAGCCCUUACGGGGAAAGAUUUAUCGCCGAAAGAUCGGCCCGCGUCUGAUUAGCUAGUUGGUGAGGUAACGGCUCACCAAGGCGACGAUCAGUAGCUGGUCUGAGAGGAUGAUCAGCCACACUGGGACUGAGACACGGCCCAGACUCCUACGGGAGGCAGCAGUGGGGAAUAAUGGACAAUGGGCGCAAGCUUGAUCCAGCCAUGCCGCGUGAGUGAUGAAGGCCCUAGGGUUGUAAGCUCUUUUUGUCGGGAAGAAAUGACUGUACGCCAAAAUAAACCGCGGCUAAUUUCUGCCAAAACCGGGGUAACCAAAGGGGCCUAGGUUCCCCGGAUUCUGGGGGUAAAGCCCCCUGGGGGACCUUUAAUCGGGGGGGAAACCGGGCCCAACCCCAAACCCCUUUAAUGGGGGUUCCAUUUUGGGGAAGGGGGGGAACCCCGCGGGAGGGAAAUUUUAAAUUUUCAAAACCCUGGGGAGGGGCCUCCCCCCCUUUUCCUUGGGGAAAGGGGGGAAAAAAAAUAAAUUGUUGCCCCCAAAAA
Molecule: ribosomal RNA, 706 nt
Filed under: uncultured bacterium
Lineage: Bacteria
Description: partial 16S ribosomal RNA
Rfam family: Bacterial small subunit ribosomal RNA
Source: RNAcentral